Molecule: RNA transcript, 499 nt
Organism: Zea mays
Lineage: Eukaryota; Viridiplantae; Streptophyta; Magnoliopsida; Poales; Poaceae
Exons: 2
Source: RefSeq, a predicted model, not a curated record
GUGCGAGGUCGGCCGCGCGCCUAUAAAACACCUCGUCCCGUGCCUCCAUCAGGCAUCCAAGCUCAAAGCAAGCAGAUCUAAGCUCCAGGCAGCGUCGCGACAGAGUGAGCUAGUGAGUAGCACGACAACAACAAUGGCUUCCCUGAAGGCCGCGAAGCCCAGCGGAGUUGCGGCGCAGGGCAAGGAGCCGGCGCCCAAGCUCAGCGAGACGGCGACGAAGCCGUCAGCCGCGAAGAGCGGCGGCGUUAAGAAGGCUGAGCAGAAGCCCCGGGAAACCAAAAGGAAGGUGAAGAGCAGCAAACAGGCGGCGGCGGCCAAAAAGUGACGUACAGUACGUGUGGAGUGUAAUGGAGCUUCCAUGCAUGAGUGAAUCCAUGCCAUGUUAUGAAUCUAGUCCUUCCUUUCUUGUAUCUUCCAUGUGACGCGGCGUGUGCGUCCCCUCAUGUGUGAUGAUGCCAGAUGAAUACUACAAAUAAGACGUUGUUGUGACUGUGUGCCA